Molecule: transfer RNA, 72 nt
Filed under: bacterium
Lineage: Bacteria
Description: tRNA-OTHER
Rfam family: tRNA
About the family: Transfer RNA (tRNA) molecules are approximately 80 nucleotides in length. Their secondary structure includes four short double-helical elements and three loops (D, anti-codon, and T loops).
Source: RNAcentral
GGGCCUGUGGUGUAUAUGGUAACACAUCAGCGUUAGCACCUGAGGAAGCGGGUUCAAGUCCCGCCAGGUCCA